This 294-nucleotide long non-coding RNA is filed under the name Carica papaya (papaya). Its description in RNAcentral is "long non-coding RNA (CPAP_LNC002881)". Lineage: Eukaryota; Viridiplantae; Streptophyta; Magnoliopsida; Brassicales; Caricaceae. The record is from RNAcentral.
AACAUUUGCUUCUGUGACGGUGAUUAGUGUGAUGUCCUUACUGGGCUAGUGUAGCUCAUUCCUUAUUUAACCAUUUCAGAUCAGGAGGACCAGGGUCCCGAGCCCGAUCCACAAGAAGACGGCGAGUAGAUGCUAGAUACCAUAUAGUUUUCUUUAUUUUUCUUCAAUCUCGUAUUCCUUUUAGAGAACUUUUUCGUGAUAUUGUUUAGUACUUUUAAAUUAUUGUGUAAGGGAUAUUAACCUUAAUAUUUUAUUUCACUUCUGCACUCAGAUUAUUACAUAUAUUUCCUUUUG